This 506-nucleotide ribosomal RNA is filed under the name uncultured bacterium. Its description in RNAcentral is "partial 16S ribosomal RNA". It matches the Rfam family "Bacterial small subunit ribosomal RNA", at positions 29 to 523 of the family's 1533-position model. The record is from RNAcentral.
AGUGAACGCUGGCGGUAGGCCUAACACAUGCAAGUCGAACGGCAGCACAGGAGAGCUUGCUCUCUGGGUGGCGAGUGGCGGACGGGUGAGGAAUACAUCGGAAUCUACUCUGUCGUGGGGGAUAACGUAGGGAAACUUACGCUAAUACCGCAUACGACCUACGGGUGAAAGCAGGGGACCUUCGGGCCUUGCGCGAUUGAAUGAGCCGAUGUCGGAUUAGCUAGUUGGCGGGGUAAAGGCCCACCAAGGCGACGAUCCGUAGCUGGUCUGAGAGGAUGGUCAGCCACACUGGAACUGAGACACGGUCCAGACUCCUACGGGAGGCAGCAGUGGGGAAUAUUGGACAAUGGGCGCAAGCCUGAUCCAGCCAUACCGCGUGGGUGAAGAAGGCCUUCGGGUUGUAAAGCCCUCUUGUUGGGAAAGAAAUCCAGCUGGCUAAUACCCGGUUGGGGUGACGGUACCCAAAGAAUAAGCACCGGCUAACUUCGUGCCAGCAGCCGCAGUAA